Molecule: ribosomal RNA, 381 nt
Filed under: Megaladapis edwardsi
Lineage: Eukaryota; Metazoa; Chordata; Mammalia; Primates; Lepilemuridae
Description: partial 12S ribosomal RNA
Rfam family: Bacterial small subunit ribosomal RNA
Source: RNAcentral
AAACUCAAAUGAUUAAUUUAACAAAAUCACUCGCCAGAAUACUACAAGCAACAGCUUAAAACUCAAAGGACUUGGGGGUGCUUCAAUCCCCUCUAGAGGAGCCUGUUCUACAAUCGAUAAACCCCGAUAAACCUCACCACCCCUUGCUAAUUCAACCUAUAUACCGCCAUCCCCAGCAAACCCUAGCAAGGUCACAAAGUAAGCACAAGCAUUCAACAUAAAAACGUUAGGUCAAGGUGUAGUCCAUGGGGUGGAUAGAUAUGGGCUACAUUUUCUAAUAACAGAAAAAUAUCGCACCACAACCCCUAUGAAACUUGGGGCCAAAGGAGGAUUUAGUAGUAAACCGAGAAUAGAGAGCUCCAUUGAAUAAGGGCAUAAAGC